AGAAUCAACGCUGGCGGCGUGCCUCAGACAUGCAAGUCGAACGAUUAAAGCUCUCUUCGGAGAGUGUAUAGAGUGGCGCACGGGUGAGUAACACGUAAGUAAUCUACCUCGGGGUGGGGAAUAACAGUCGGAAACGACUGCUAAUACCGCAUAAUGCAGCGGCUUCUUAUGAAGACAGUUGUUAAAGCAUUUAUGUGCCUGGAGAGGAGCUUGCGGCAGAUUAGCUAGUUGGUAAGGUAAUGGCUUACCAAGGCAACGAUCUGUAGCCGACCUGAGAGGGUGGUCGGUCACACUGACACUGAAUAACGGGUCAGACUCCUACGGGAGGCAGCAGUCGGGAAUUUUGGGCAAUGGGCGAAAGCCUGACCCAGCAACGCCGCGUGAAGGAUGAAGUAUUUCGGUAUGUAAACUUCGUAAAAAUGGGAAGAAUAAAUGACGGUACCAUUUGUAAGGUCCGGCUAACUACGUGCCAGCAGCCGCGGU
RNAcentral lists this ribosomal RNA (483 nucleotides) under uncultured bacterium. RNAcentral's name for it is "SSU rRNA". It matches the Rfam family "Bacterial small subunit ribosomal RNA", at positions 26 to 521 of the family's 1533-position model. The record is from RNAcentral.